AAGUCGUAACAAGGUUUCCGUAGGUGAACCUGCGGAAGGAUCAUUAACACGUAUCCAACGUUAAACCCCCUGUGAACCUUCAUUGUACGAGUUACAUCCACGUCAUAAACCGGCAAUCUCUGGUAAAUCAUCGCCGAACAGUUUUGAUUCAGAGACCUCUGGGAAGGGUGUACGGUAGUGCGAGGCAAUUGACCUGGCAUUCCUCUGCUUGUUAGUGUCUGAAAGUGUCACUAGCUAUGUACGGAUGGCGCAGUAACGAUCGCUGGAGGCCGACACGGCCGGCGACCAGGUCACUGGGCUACGGCCCCCCAAUGCUUGAACAACUGUUAACAAUGGAUAUCUUGGUUCUC
Molecule: unclassified non-coding RNA, 350 nt
Filed under: fungal sp.
Lineage: Eukaryota; Fungi
Description: partial internal transcribed spacer region
Rfam family: Eukaryotic small subunit ribosomal RNA (bases 1-46)
Source: RNAcentral